Molecule: ribosomal RNA, 114 nt
Filed under: Pteropus alecto (black flying fox)
Lineage: Eukaryota; Metazoa; Chordata; Mammalia; Chiroptera; Pteropodidae
Source: RNAcentral
UGCUACGGCCAUGGCACCCUGAACAAGUCAGAUCUGAUCUGAUCUCAGAAGCCAAUCAGGUUUGGGCCUGAUUAAUAUUUAGAUGGGAGACCACCUAAAAAAAAGACCAGGUGC